GGAAGGGCGCAGGGGCGCACUGGGAACUUGGCCUCGCCUCCUCGCCUCGCCUGCAGGGGCCACGCUCCCGGUCGGUCUCCCGAGUGAUCUUGCCGGCGAUCAGAUCAGCUCGUUGACAGAGAUUUGACUCAAACUAGCUUGAGCAAAACCACAAUGAGUUGGCUCCUACAGCUGGGAAGAGAGAGCUGCCAGGUUUUCUUCAAAGGAUCCCAGUGAUGACCUCUGGUGCCCUGAGUCCACAUCCUUAUGGCUUGUGAUCAAAGAGAAGAGAAGCUCCUUUCUCCAGCUUCCGCCUAAUAAAUCUUGUGAAGUCGCUGAUGGA
Molecule: long non-coding RNA, 322 nt
Filed under: Equus asinus (donkey)
Lineage: Eukaryota; Metazoa; Chordata; Mammalia; Perissodactyla; Equidae
Description: lncRNA (ENSEASG00005033256.1)
Source: RNAcentral